Molecule: long non-coding RNA, 1168 nt
Filed under: Homo sapiens (human)
Lineage: Eukaryota; Metazoa; Chordata; Mammalia; Primates; Hominidae
Description: HSALNT0339508
Source: RNAcentral
UUUUUUGUAGCCCAGAGGUCCUUUAUUUUUUUUUUUUAACACCUAUUAUGCCAUGAAUUCAUAGGGAAUAGGUUCCAGCAGCUCAGGCUCCUUCCCAUUGGUUCUCACAAAGUGUGCUUCUCUGGGUGGAGUAGGCUGGCGCUUUAGUUGAACCCAGGUACCUUUCUCUUUGGCUUCUUUCUUUUUCUGAUCAUUUUCCUUCACACGUUUCAGGAAGCUAUCUCGGCUCUUAGAGUGCUUAAUGUGCUCAAUACGCACAUUAAUUCUCUUGGCAAGAAUCUUGCCCUUAACUUGUUUGUUUACAACAAUGCCAACAGCAUGCUGGGUAACAUUGUAGACUCUUCCAGUUUUGCCAUGGUAACACUUGUGGGGCAUUCCUUUUUGAACAGUACCCAUUCCCUUGAUGUCUACAAUAUCACCUUUCUUAUAGAUUCGCAUAUAUGUGGCCAAAGGAACAACUCCAUGUUUUCUAAAAGGCCUAGAGAACAUAUAUCGGGUGCCUCUCCUCUUUCCCUUUGUGUUCGUCAUUUUGGCGAAUUACUGGAAGAUGGCGGUUCCGGCCGAAAGGGCAAGAUGCAUAUUGGAUAUCUAAAUAGAGAUAUCAAGAAAUGAAGAUAUGCAUUUCCAGUUCCAGAGAGAAAUUCACACUGGAAAUAUAAAUUUAGGAAUUUUAAAGUUAGUGGUCACAUUUAAAGCUGCAGAAUACAAAGAGAUCACCUGUGUGAGAGAACUGAGUCCUGAAACAUACCCGUGUUUAAAGAUCUGGGAGGUGCAGAGGAAUUAUCAAAGGAGGCUGAGAAGGAGCAGCCAGUGAGAUAAGCAAAAAGAAAAGCAAGAGAUAUGGAACUGAACUUCCCUUUGGCAAAAAAUUUAGAAAAUGAUAAUGAGACUCCGCUUUCUGUCUCUCUGAAGAUAACGUUAAGCUGCAGCUCCGUAUCUGUGAAAACCCAUUUCACAGCAUCUGCAUCCCUGGAUUGCUAAAUACCCUUGUCUAGUUACCCAAAUAUUAAUGGAUCCCAUGGAAUAAGGUGGCAUGAUUUAGGCACAAGCAAUUACCAAAGGAUUUUGAAAAGCAGUAACUCCAAAUUAUCUUGUAAAGUUGAGAAUAAUCUGAGAAGAGCUAUUGUAAGACUGGGAAUCAAGUAACAAAAUAAAGAUAUGAACCGUC